Non-coding RNA from Rhipicephalus microplus (southern cattle tick), 72 nucleotides. Lineage: Eukaryota; Metazoa; Arthropoda; Arachnida; Ixodida; Ixodidae. The record is from the annotation of a RefSeq genome assembly.
GACUCGGUGGCGCAACGGUAGCGCGUCUGGCUGCGGGUCAGAAGGUUGCGUGUUCGAAUCACGCCCGAGUCA